This 58-nucleotide transfer RNA is filed under the name Celeribacter halophilus. RNAcentral describes it as "Pseudoruegeria sp. ZXM137 tRNA". It matches the Rfam family "tRNA", at positions 13 to 68 of the family's 71-position model. From Rfam's summary of the family: Transfer RNA (tRNA) molecules are approximately 80 nucleotides in length. Their secondary structure includes four short double-helical elements and three loops (D, anti-codon, and T loops). The record is from Rfam by way of RNAcentral. Lineage: Bacteria; Pseudomonadati; Pseudomonadota; Alphaproteobacteria; Rhodobacterales; Roseobacteraceae.
GGGAGUCGAUUGAAUCAGGCUCAUAACCUGAAGGUCGUAGGUUCAAAUCCUACUCCCG